RNAcentral lists this ribosomal RNA (274 nucleotides) under uncultured bacterium. Its description in RNAcentral is "partial 16S ribosomal RNA". It matches the Rfam family "Bacterial small subunit ribosomal RNA", at positions 523 to 796 of the family's 1533-position model. The record is from RNAcentral.
AUACGGAGGGGGCUAGCGUUGUUCGGAAUUACUGGGCGUAAAGCGCGCGUAGGCGGAUUGGUCAGUUGGGGGUGAAAUCCCGAGGCUUAACCUCGGAACUGCCUUCAAAACUGCCAGUCUUGAGUCCGGGAGAGGUGAGUGGAAUUCCUAGUGUAGAGGUGAAAUUCGUAGAUAUUAGGAAGAACACCAGUGGCGAAGGCGGCUCACUGGCCCGGUACUGACGCUGAGGCGCGAAAGCGUGGGGAGCAAACAGGAUUAGAAACCCGAGUAGUCC